UACAGAGGGUGCGAGCGUUGUCCGGAAUCACUGGGCGUAAAGGGCGCGUAGGCGGCUUGAUAAGUAGGGGGUGAAAUCUCACAGCUCAACUGUGAGGCUGCCUCCUAAACUGUCUGGCUUGAGCACAGUAGAGGCGAGUGGAAUUCCCGGUGUAGCGGUGGAAUGCGUAGGAGAGUCGGGAAGAACAUCGGUGGCGAAGGCGGCUCGCGUGGGCUGUAGCUGACGCUGAUGCGCGAAAGC
This 240-nucleotide ribosomal RNA is filed under the name uncultured bacterium. RNAcentral describes it as "partial 16S ribosomal RNA". It matches the Rfam family "Bacterial small subunit ribosomal RNA", at positions 524 to 760 of the family's 1533-position model. The record is from RNAcentral.